This 22-nucleotide non-coding RNA is filed under the name Mus musculus (house mouse). The record is from RNAcentral. Lineage: Eukaryota; Metazoa; Chordata; Mammalia; Rodentia; Muridae.
AAUCUGUAGAUUGCUUUUGGCA